AUUGAACGCUGGCGGCAUGCCUUACACAUGCAAGUCGAACGGCAGCGGACCUUCGGGUGCCGGCGAGUGGCGAACGGGUGAGUAAUAUAUCGGGAACGUACCUUUCAGUGGGGGAUAACGUAGCGAAAGUUACGCUAAUACCGCAUAUUCUGUGAGCAGGAAAGCAGGGGAUCGCAAGACCUUGCGCUGAUUGAGCGGCCGAUAUCAGAUUAGCUAGUUGGUGAGGUAAAGGCUCGACCAAGGCGACGAUCUGUAGCGGGUCUGAGAGGAUGAUCCGCCACACUGGAACUGAGACACGGUCCAGACUCCUACGGGAGGCAGCAGUGGGGAAUUUUGGACAAUGGGCGCAAGCCUGAUCCAGCCAUGCCGCGUGAGUGAAGAAGG
This 384-nucleotide ribosomal RNA is filed under the name uncultured bacterium. RNAcentral's name for it is "bacterial SSU rRNA". It matches the Rfam family "Bacterial small subunit ribosomal RNA", at positions 30 to 414 of the family's 1533-position model. The record is from RNAcentral.